AGUGAACGCUGGCGGUAGGCCUAACACAUGCAAGUCGAACGGCAGCACAGUAAGAGCUUGCUCUUACGGGUGGCGAGUGGCGGACGGGUGAGGAAUACAUCGGAAUCUACUUUUUCGCGGGGGAUAACGUAGGGAAACUUACGCUAAUACCGCAUACGACCUACGGGUGAAAGCAGGGGAUCUUCGGACCUUGCGCGAUUGAAUGAGCCGAUGUCGGAUUAGCUAGUUGGCGGGGUAAAGGCCCACCAAGGCGACGAUCCGUAGCUGGUCUGAGAGGAUGAUCAGCCACACUGGAACUGAGACACGGUCCAGACUCCUACGGGAGGCAGCAGUGGGGAAUAUUGGACAAUGGGCGCAAGCCUGAUCCAGCCAUACCGCGUGGGUGAAGAGGGCCUUCGGGUUGUAAAGCCCUUUUGUUGGGAAAGAAAAGCAGCAGGUUAAUACCCCGCUGUUCUGACGGUACCCAAAGAAUAAGCACCGGCUAACUUCGUG
This 492-nucleotide ribosomal RNA is filed under the name uncultured bacterium. RNAcentral's name for it is "partial 16S ribosomal RNA". It matches the Rfam family "Bacterial small subunit ribosomal RNA", at positions 29 to 507 of the family's 1533-position model. The record is from RNAcentral.